Molecule: ribosomal RNA, 465 nt
Filed under: uncultured bacterium
Lineage: Bacteria
Description: partial 16S ribosomal RNA
Rfam family: Bacterial small subunit ribosomal RNA
Source: RNAcentral
CCUACGGGGUGCAGCAGUGGGGAAUAUUGCGCAAUGGGCGAAAGCCUGACGCAGCGACGCCGCGUGAGGGAUGAAGGUCUUCGGAUCGUAAACCUCUGUCAGCAGGGAAGAACGGUCACUGUGCUAAUCAGCAGUGAAUUGACGGUACCUGCAAAGGAAGCACCGGCUAACUCCGUGCCAGCAGCCGCGGUAAUACGGAGGGUGCGAGCGUUAAUCGGAAUUACUGGGCGUACAGCGCUCGUAGGCGGUAUGUCAAGUCAAGGGUGAAAUCCCCGCGCUCAACGUGGGAACUGCCUUUGAAACUGGCAAACUGGAGUGUGUGAGAGGAUAGUGGAAUUCCAGGUGUAGGAGUGAAAGCCGUAGAUAUCUGGAGGAACAUCAGUGGCGAAGGCGACUAUCUGGCACAUAACUGACGCUGAGGAGCGAAAGCGUGGGUAGCAAACAGGAUUAGAUACCCCUGUAGUC